This 339-nucleotide unclassified non-coding RNA is filed under the name soil metagenome. RNAcentral's name for it is "partial contains 5.8S ribosomal RNA, internal transcribed spacer 2, and large subunit ribosomal RNA". The stretch from base 1 to 120 matches the Rfam family "5.8S ribosomal RNA", at positions 35 to 154 of the family's 154-position model. The record is from RNAcentral.
GAUGAAGAACGCAGCGAAAUGCGAUAACUAAUGUGAAUUGCAGAAUUCAGUGAAUCAUCGAGUCUUUGAACGCACAUUGCGCCCCCUGGUAUUCCGGGGGGCAUGCCUGUCCGAGCGUCAUUGCUGCCCUCAAGCACGGCUUGUGUGUUGGGCUCCGUCCCCCCGGGGACGGGCCCGAAAGGCAGCGGCGGCACCGAGUCCGAUCCUCGAGCGUAUGGGGCUUUGUCACCCGCUCUGUAGGCCCGGCCGGCGCCAGCCGACAACCCAUCAUCCUUUUCAGGUUGACCUCGGAUCAGGUAGGGAUACCCGCUGAACUUAAGCAUAUCAAUAAGCGGAGGA